Molecule: long non-coding RNA, 1618 nt
Filed under: Ovis aries (sheep)
Lineage: Eukaryota; Metazoa; Chordata; Mammalia; Artiodactyla; Bovidae
Description: lncRNA (ENSOARG00000027052.1)
Source: RNAcentral
AUGCCCAGGCUCGAGUUCAGUCAGCGUUUUCAGUUAAAACGACUGAGCAGCCUGCGCUGUCGCGUCCUGGCAGAGCGCGCGGAACGCCGCCAGGCCACACAGUCUGUGAUGAGCCCUCGACCUCCGCUCCUCGCGACGCCUGGCCGGUCCCCCAUCCCUUACCUGGUCGGGGUUGUGCACCAGGGGGCAGUUGUCGCAGUGAUCACCCACACCGUCCCCGUCCGUGUCCCGCUGGUCGGUGUUGUAGACGUAGGGACAGUUGUCUCGCUCAUUGAAGACAUCUUCCCCGUCGAUGUCCGCGGAGCAGGCGUCGCCCUCCCCGUUGCUGUCCGUGUCGAUCUGUGCCGGGUUGUGCACGUAGGGGCAGUUGUCGCAUCGGUCCCCAACCUCGUCUUUGUCGUAGUCGAACUGGCGGGGGUUGAAGAGAAGCUGGCAGUUGUCCUAGAAAAAAGUCGAGAGAAGAAUUCCAGAAACAGCGUAGAGACGCUUGCUGGGUUACUCAUAACAGGACUCGGCACUUACAAGUCGUGUAUUUAAAGCAGAUCAAGAUAACCAGGGUAGAAAUACAGCCAGGAAGCUCUACCUACAAUUUCUUGACAUCAAGUCAUUUCAUAAUUAUUUACACAGUCUCUCCCUAUGAAAAAUUUUGAGACUGUCUGUGGUAAAGGUGAUGAUAUAGUAUACACACCACGGUGAGGACAGACACACAGAUGGUGACGAUAGACACGUCAAUGCUGAGGGAAUGAAGGAUCCAAAGAGUUAAUGCAUCAGUGGAAGUGAGCCUGCAAACAAAACUUAGCUGCUCGGUGUCUGCUGAGUCAUGUAUGGAUACGUUAGAUCACACAUGUCUGCACGGAGAUCCAACCAGUCCAUGCUAAAGGAAGUCAGCCCUGAAUAGUCACUAGAAGGACUGAUGUUAAAGCUGAAGCUCCAGUCCUUUGGCCACCUGAUGUGACUCACUGGAAAAGACCCUGAUGCUGGGAAAGAUUGAAGGCAGGAGGAGAAGGGGACGGCAGAGGAUGAGAUGGUUAGAUGGCAUCACCGACUCAAGGGACAUGAGUUUGAGCAAGCUCCAGGGGUUGGUGAUGGACAGGGAGGCCUGUGUGCUGCAGUCCAUGGGGUCGCAGAGUUGGACAUGGCUGAGCAACUGAACAAGAUUCUGCUAUCAAGGCAGUGAGUGGCAGCAUCUCUCCUUGAAGAGACAGCCCUGCAUCACUGGCACCCCGCCCCCCCAGAAGGACGAACUAUUGAAAACAUUCUACGUAGAGCAGCCCACGUGGCUGCACACCGGGCUGGCUAACGUGCAGGGGAAGCCACAGCGUUCUCCCGGUGACUCUCAGCCUCGCUGGGGAGAGGAGUCCCUGCGCUGCACAGUGACCUUUCCGAAGGAAGCGCUGCCUCCCACCCCAGGCGCUCCGGAGCGCGAACAGCCCCGGGCGCUCCUGAGUGCUGCGCCCCGCCCCGGGUGCUCCUGGUGCAAGGAAGGCCUUGGGCCCUCGGGGGCAGUGGGGUGGGGGGAGGGGGUGGGAACGGGCCCGGGCGCUCCUGAGCGCUGCGCCCCCCACCAUGGGCACUCCCGGUGCGAGGAAGGCCCCGGGCGCUCCAGGGAGGGGAACGG